UGGGGAAUAUUGCACAAUGGGCGCAAGCCUGAUGCAGCCAUGCCGCGUGUAUGAAGAAGGCCUUCGGGUUGUAAAGUACUUUCAGCGAGGAGGAAGGCGUUGUGGUUAAUAACCGCAGCGAUUGACGUUACUCGCAGAAGAAGCACCGGCUAACUCCGUGCCAGCAGCCGCGGUAAUACGGAGGGUGCAAGCGUUAAUCGGAAUUACUGGGUGUAAAGCGCACGCAGGCGGUCUGUCAAGUCGGAUGUGAAAUCCCCGGGCUCAACCUGGGAACUGCAUCCGAAACUGGCAGGCUAGAGUCUUGUAGAGGGGGGGUAGAAUUCCAGGUGUAGCGGUGAAAUGCGUAGAGAUCUGGAGGAAUACCGGUGGCGAAGGCGGCCCCCUGGACAAAGACUGACGCUCAGGUGCGAAAGCGUGGGGAGCAAACA
This 428-nucleotide ribosomal RNA is filed under the name uncultured bacterium. RNAcentral describes it as "partial 16S ribosomal RNA". It matches the Rfam family "Bacterial small subunit ribosomal RNA", at positions 355 to 774 of the family's 1533-position model. The record is from RNAcentral.